GUCUACCAACUCUGUCUCAAGAAAAAAAACAUUUUUAAUAAAAAUAAAAACAACAAUAACAAAGAGCGAGUGAAGACGCACAUCCACUCCCAGACGUGCCAGGCCCCUACCCGGGCCGAGGCUGGGGGGCAGUGGGCUCAGGUGGGCUUCUGGGGCCCAGGCCUGGGGGACAGAGGUGGCCUCCCCUGGGGGCUGCUCAGGGGGGUGGCAGGGACAGCUGGAGCCCCCGGACGUGGUCACAGGCCCAUCUGCUCCAUUGACAAGGUGGCCGCUGGUCGCCACGACGACGCUCCUGGACCCAGAAGAACGUGCUGGAGACAAGGGGAGAGCCUGCAGUCACCCCCGGCUCCGCCCCCAGGAUGGCCGCCUCUGACGCAAAGGAAGUGUCACACACGUGCUCGUGGGCAGGCACGCACAGACCCGUGGCCACACGCGGGAGGAGCCAGACACCCACGGGGACUGCACACACCGGAGGGGCUCACACCAAGGGGCAGACCAGACACCCACACGGCGAGGGCACACGCGCACCCGCCCAGGCCAGACCCAGACAGACCCCACGGGAGGCCCCCCACCCAGAGGCCAGACACGGACCAGGCAGCCAGCAUCCCCUGGGAGGCCACAUCAGACCUCACCGUUCACCCGCGGUCCCAGAACCCGCCCUGUGCAGGCCCCCAGCGAGUGUGUGCACGGUGUGUGCGUGUGUCUCUAUGUGUGUAAAGAGAGACCACCUCCGAGGCCUGAGCCCUGUUCCCACAGGGCAGUGACCCCGCCUCCCCCCCACCAAGCCCCGGCUCUCAGCCCAGGACGCAGGCCUCCAACCACAGCUCGCCCCUCUUACCUGGAGAGAUGGGGGGAUGGAUGCAGAUACCAGCGGGACACCCCGUUGCCUUCAGCGCCGACAGCAGCUGGGAAGGCCCGCCGCGGAGUGGGCAGCGCCCGGACCACCACCUCGACGCCCAGGCCUGGGGCAGCCCCACCGCCAUCGCGGCCAGGUGAGGCUCAGGGGUCGGCGGGGCAGGGGGCAUCUUCCCAAAAGGAGUCCUAGACAGGGAUUCUCAAAGCGAGGUCCCAGAACCUCUCAGGGGAUCCAGAGAACAAACGAUCAAAACUACUUUCUUGAUGAUAGUAAGAGAUUUGCAUUUUUCACUCUCACUUUCUCGCAGGCAGGUGUUCCACGGAGUUUUCCAGAGGCUACGUGAGGCGUGAUCUCGCGAGAGCUUCAAAGCCCUGGCAGGUGUGAUAACCCAGCUGGCCUUGUGUUAACCUCACUCAAGAGAGCUGCGAAGUGAAACACAAGGCCACUCUUUGGGCUGCUUUGCUGGUUUUAAGACAGAGCUAUUUUUCAUUAAAAAAAAGUGCAUUAUUCCUGUGAGUACAGUGAGUUCGUUGUCAUGAAGCAACGAAUGCAUAAAGACCUCUGUUUUUUCUCAGCUUUAAUUUCCAUCGCUGCAAAUGUCGAUAUACACAUACACAACAGCUCUGGGCCUGCAAUGAUUUUUUAAACGCUAAGGGGCCCUGAGACCCCCAGUGUCUGAGACCUGCUGCCUGAGACACGUGGCUAAUGAUUGAUUACAGCUCCUCUGCGCACCCAGCCUCAGUGGAGGACACACACAGGGAGCGCGUAUUGAGUCCUUUCGGCGCCCAGCCCCCAGCUAAAGGCUUUACAAGGUCAUCUCAGGGAAUCCUCACACCAGCCUUAUGCGGGCGGUAAUGUCAAGGCCGAGGAGGAAACCCAGGCUGAGCUCAAAACUUGGGCUCUCCUGACUUGACGGUCCUGACGAAUGGGAUUCCACGGCCCUCAUGCUCCCCGGAGGAUCUGCAGGAAUAACAAUGCCAGGGGCUUAUCCGCGUUGUGUGUCUAAUGCCCCGACUGGCUCACUGCACGGUCGCAGCAAUCCGGUGACCAGGCACCGCUGCUGCCCUGCUGGCGGCACAGAUGGGUGGGACACUUGCCCGGGGAGCCCCGGGUGGUAGGCAGGCUGUGAGCUGGGCCCCACUGGUUCCUGGUCUCUGCCUCUGAGAGUUGGAAGGUUCCAGCCACCCCAGCCCAGCGGCCAGCUUGACCCCGAGGAAGGCUGGCGGCUCAGCGCCUGGCCUCUCUGCUCGGUUUGGGCCCAGGCUGAGCUAGGGUGCCAAGUUCAAGGGUCUUUGCUCAGGCAGUCAGGUGGGUGCGGCUCCGGUGCUCAGAAAAGGGCUGGGCUCCUGGUUGCUAUGAACCCCUCGACAUGCCCCCAGGCCCGGGU
This is a long non-coding RNA of Bos taurus (domestic cattle), 2243 nucleotides long. The record is from Ensembl. Lineage: Eukaryota; Metazoa; Chordata; Mammalia; Artiodactyla; Bovidae.